Molecule: ribosomal RNA, 487 nt
Filed under: uncultured Funneliformis
Lineage: Eukaryota; Fungi; Glomeromycota; Glomeromycetes; Glomerales; Glomeraceae
Description: SSU rRNA
Rfam family: Eukaryotic small subunit ribosomal RNA
Source: RNAcentral
UGGUGCCAGCAGCCGCGGUAAUUCCAGCUCCAAUAGCGUAUAUUAAAGUUGUUGCAGUUAAAAAGCUCGUAGUUGAAUUUCGGGAUCAAUAUUUCGGUCAUGCCGUUGGUAUGCACUGUUAUCAUUGAUUUCUCACCUUCUAAAGAACCGUAACGCCAUUAAUUUGGUGUUACGGGGAAUUAGGACUGUUACCUUGAAAAAAUUAGAGUGUUUAAAGCAGGCUCACGCUUGAAUACAUUAGCAUGGAAUAAUGAAAUAGGACAUCCGAUUCUAUUUUGUUGGUUUCUAGGAUCGAUGUAAUGAUUAAUAGGGAUAGUUGGGGGCAUUAGUAUUCAAUUGUCAGAGGUGAAAUUCUUGGAUUUAUUGAAGACUAACUACUGCGAAAGCAUUUGCCAAGGAUGUUUUCAUUAAUCAAGAACGAAAGUUAGGGGAUCGAAGACGAUCAGAUACCGUCGUAGUCUUAACCAUAAACUAUGCCGACUAGGGA